This 465-nucleotide ribosomal RNA is filed under the name uncultured bacterium. RNAcentral's name for it is "partial 16S ribosomal RNA". It matches the Rfam family "Bacterial small subunit ribosomal RNA", at positions 28 to 507 of the family's 1533-position model. The record is from RNAcentral.
GACGAACGCUGGCGGCGUGCUUAACACAUGCAAGUCGAACGGAAAGGCCCUGCUUGCAGGGUACUCGAGUGGCGAACGGGUGAGUAACACGUGGGUGAUCUGCCCUGCACUUCGGGAUAAGCCUGGGAAACUGGGUCUAAUACCGGAUAGGAGCCAUUUUUAGUGUGAUGGUUGGAAAGUUUUUUCGGUGUAGGAUGAGCUCGCGGCCUAUCAGCUUGUUGGUGGGGUAAUGGCCUACCAAGGCGGCGACGGGUAGCCGGCCUGAGAGGGUGGACGGCCACAUUGGGACUGAGAUACGGCCCAGACUCCUACGGGAGGCAGCAGUGGGGAAUAUUGCACAAUGGGCGCAAGCCUGAUGCAGCGACGCCGUGUGGGGGAUGACGGCCUUCGGGUUGUAAACUCCUUUCGCUAGGGACGAAGCUUUUUGUGACGGUACCUAGAUAAGAAGCACCGGCUAACUACGUG